GCGGGCGGGAGGGACUGCUAGGUGGUUUGGCCGCCAGAUGGCAGGCGUGCGCCGUGCCCGCAGGUCUCAGCCCCUACACGGGCGCGCGGGGCCGGGCCAGGGUAUAGUCCGGUGAGCCGUGGCCGCUUCGCUGCCGCUGCCCCGGGGUCGACCCACCGGGGAGGAAAGCCACAGGCACUGAGCGCCUCCUGAGAGCCAGCCCUGACGUGAACUCAUUUUAUCUGCAACGACCCAAAAGGAUUCUACUGCUAAGAUUUCAACAUGUCCUAUGGCUGAGUUAAUCAGAAUUCUGACAGGAAGGUACCUGGCAUACCAUCGCAAUGCUCCAUCAAUGCUAGUAUAUUGUAUUCUUUCCUUCACAUCAAGUCAACUCGUCUUUCUCUACUUACCUGGUGUACACAGUCUAAGAACUGUAAGAAUACUGGAGCAAAACCACUCCCCUGACAGUUGAGGGUCAAGCUGCUCCGCUGAUUGAAUUUGUGACCAAAAGAGAGCCACUCUUUUUCAACCAACAUCCGGAAGCCUUCAAGUGUCCUAUAAAAGGGAUCACUGAGUAACUGAACCAGGGAUGUCACCUAGGGCACAAGCAGGAUGGAUUUGUCAUUAAUUUUAGUUCUGAAAAAAAAAAAAAAGUCCUAUUACUAAGAUAAAAGCACUUCCUGCUGAUGCUAGCUAAAUCACAAAGUUACCUGGACAGCAAAUUUGUUCACUAACCAUUCCAGGAUGGCCAAUAAAAUGAAUUCUGUAAACUUUCCAGUAAAA
This is a non-coding RNA of Saimiri boliviensis boliviensis (Bolivian squirrel monkey), 762 nucleotides long. The record is from RefSeq and is a predicted model, not a curated record. NCBI's taxonomy places the organism in Eukaryota, Metazoa, Chordata, Mammalia, Primates, Cebidae.